GGCUGCAACUCGCCUACAUGAAGUUGGAAUCGCUAGUAAUCGCGAAUCAGAAUGUCGCGGUGAAUACGUUCCCGGGUCUUGUACACACCGCCCGUCCACACCACGAGAGUUUACAACACCCGAAGUCAGUGGCCUAACCGCAAGGAGGGAGCUGCCUAAGGUGGGGUAGAUGAUUGGGGUGAAGUCGUAACAAGGUAGC
Molecule: ribosomal RNA, 199 nt
Filed under: uncultured bacterium
Lineage: Bacteria
Description: partial 16S ribosomal RNA
Rfam family: Bacterial small subunit ribosomal RNA
Source: RNAcentral